AACGUAGGAGACGAACGUUAUCCGGAGUUACUGGGCGUAAAGGGCGUGUAGGCGGUUUGUUAAGUCUGGCGUGAAAGCUCUCGGCUAAACCGGGAGAGGUCGUUGGAUACUGGCGAACUAGAGGAUGGUAGAGGCGCGUGGAAUUCCGGGUGUAGUGGUGAAAUGCGUAGAGAUCCGGAGGAACACCAGUGGCGAAGGCGACACGCUGGGCCAUACCUGACGCUAAAGCGCGACAGCAUGGGGAGCAAACGGG
Molecule: ribosomal RNA, 253 nt
Filed under: uncultured bacterium
Lineage: Bacteria
Description: partial 16S ribosomal RNA
Rfam family: Bacterial small subunit ribosomal RNA
Source: RNAcentral